The submitters of this non-coding RNA (79 nucleotides) gave its source as unclassified sequences. The record is from Rfam.
AAGGCCUCAUCUCGUGUCUCCGCCAUCGGGGCGACUGACCAGUAGUAAUACAGGCACUUGGCCUAGAUGAGGAGAAGGA